UGACGGUACCUGACUAAGAAGCUCCGGCUAAAUACGUGCCAGCAGCCGCGGUAAUACGUAUGGAGCAAGCGUUAUCCGGAUUUACUGGGUGUAAAGGGAGCGUAGGCGGUGAUGCAAGUCAGAAGUGAAAACCCGGGGCUCAACCCCGUGGAUUGCUUUUGAGACUGUGUUGCUGGAGUACAGGAGGGGCAGGCGGAAUUCCUGGUGUAGCGGUGAAAUGCGUAGAUAUCAGGAGGAACACCGGUGGCGAAGGCGGCCUGCUGGACUGUAACUGACGCUGAGGCUCGAAGGCGUGGGGAGCAAACAGGAUUAGAUACCCUG
RNAcentral lists this ribosomal RNA (321 nucleotides) under uncultured bacterium. RNAcentral's name for it is "bacterial SSU rRNA". It matches the Rfam family "Bacterial small subunit ribosomal RNA", at positions 470 to 789 of the family's 1533-position model. The record is from RNAcentral.